CAGGGGUAUCGAAGGACUCAUUCAAUAUUUGAAUGAUCUGCUCAGGCUGCACAUCCUCAAACUUAUGGCUAAGUUCAUCGUUCAUAGCUGCCCUCAUCACAUAGCGCACAGUCGUUCGAUCAUUGAGCCACUUUAUGUAAGUAUCUCUCAUGGUAUGAGUAGCAUUGGCAGCAGGUUCUUUCGAUGCUUCAUCCGUAAGGACGUAUAGAA
This 210-nucleotide long non-coding RNA is filed under the name Elaeis guineensis (African oil palm). RNAcentral describes it as "long non-coding RNA (EGUI_LNC050221)". The record is from RNAcentral. Lineage: Eukaryota; Viridiplantae; Streptophyta; Magnoliopsida; Arecales; Arecaceae.